Long non-coding RNA from Myotis daubentonii (Daubenton's bat), 1468 nucleotides. RefSeq lists it as uncharacterized. NCBI's taxonomy places the organism in Eukaryota, Metazoa, Chordata, Mammalia, Chiroptera, Vespertilionidae. The record is from RefSeq and is a predicted model, not a curated record.
CCUGCAUUGAGCAUCUACCCCCUAGUGGUCAGUGUGCAUCAUGGCAAGCAGUUGUUCGGCCAUUUGAUCAAUUUGCAUAUUAGGGUUUUAUUAUAUAGGAUUAGUGACUGCCUGUGGCCCCCGUCUUUAUUUUGUAUUGCAGGAUGACCUCUUCCCAGGAUGACUGACAGUGGGGAUGUCUACUCCUGGUAGGGCAGCGGUUCUCAACCUGUGGGUCGCGACCCCUUUGGCAGUCGAAGGACCCUUUCACAGGGGUCGCCUAAGACCAUCCUGCAUAUCAGAUAUUUACAUGACGAUUCAUAACAGUAGGAACGUUACAGUUGUGAAGUAGCAACGAAAAUAAUUUUAUGGUUGGGUCACAACAUGAGGAACUGUAUUUAAAGGGCCAGAAGAUUGAGAACCACUGUGGUAGGGGAAUGACUCCACCCCCUUCUGCACUGAGAGCACAAUGUGCCUUACACCUGAAAACUCAAUGACCCAGCCCCAGCCUCAGCCACCUCAGCCCUGAACAGCAGCAGGAGGGGGACACUAACAGCUGAGUCCAGGUUCUCUCUCCAGCCUCUUCUCCAGGUCCAGGUGAAGACCAGGCCGGCCCCACUUACUCAUCCCCUCUGUGCGUUGCCUGCAUAUGACCACACAACUUCCUCCGGAAAAGCAAUGGAAAAAGUAUUGUCUGGUGAGGAUUAAAAAAAUUAAAUUAAAUUAAAAAGAAUAGAAGAUCAGCACUCAGACACACACAAGCAAGGAAGACCCUGUGAAGACACAGGAAGAAGACCGCCGUCUACAAGUCCAGGGGAGAGGCCUCAGAAGGAACCAACCCUGCCAACACCUGGAUCUUGGACUUCUAGCCUCCAGAAUCGUGAGAAAACACAUUUCUGCUGUUGAAGCCACCCAGCCUGUGGCUCUUGGUUAUGGCAGCCUGAGUAGAUGACUAUACCCUUGCCUUUUGCUGUCCUUGCAAAAAGCCUUUCCUCUUUUAAUGCCGAUCAAGUCAUGGGACCUACCUCAUGCUGCCCUGCACACGGGCCUUGAGCAAUGGCUUGGGGAGUCUAGAAGGGAGCACACCACGUCUGGAUCCACCUCCGUCUGCAAGGGCAUCUUUGUCCUUUGUGUUCAGGAGGGACGUGAAGGAUCAGUGAGGACAGAGGGGACACCAUUCUAGCCAGCCGUGAACAUUACUCCCACUCUGGUCCUGGCCAGGCAAGGGUGCUCAUCUCUUUCACAUCUGCAAGACAGGCCACCAGCCUGACACUUCCAAGCUGCCCUGUCCCAUAAGGGAGUCACCAGCCCCAUGGGGCCCUCGAGCCCUUGCCAUGUGGCUUGUCUGAACUGAGAUGUGCUGGGAAUGUAAAAUAAUAACAACUUAGUUGGGAAAAUAUGCAAAAAUUUUAUUAAUAACUUUAAUACAGAUUACAUAUUUAAAUUUUUUGGAUAGCUUGGGUUAAAUAAAAUACAUCUAUAAAAUUAA